GAUGAACGCUGGCGGCGUGCUUAACACAUGCAAGUCGAACGGAAAGGCCCAAGCUUGCUUGGGUACUCGAGUGGCGAACGGGUGAGUAACACGUGGGUGAUCUGCCCUGCACUUCGGGAUAAGCCUGGGAAACUGGGUCUAAUACCAGAUAGGACCACAUUUUGGAUGGUGUGGUGGAAAGUUUUUCGGUGUGGGAUGAGCUCGCGGCCUAUCAGCUUGUUGGUGGGGUAAUGGCCUACCAAGGCGUCGACGGGUAGCCGGCCUGAGAGGGUGUACGGCCACAUUGGGACUGAGAUACGGCCCAGACUCCUACGGGAGGCAGCAGUGGGGAAUAUUGCACAAUGGGCGCAAGCCUGAUGCAGCGACGCCGCGUGGGGGAUGACGGCCUUCGGGUUGUAAACUCCUUUCGCUAGGGACGAAGCGUUAUGUGACGGUACCUGGAGAAGAAGCACCGGCUAACUACGUG
This 466-nucleotide ribosomal RNA is filed under the name uncultured bacterium. Its description in RNAcentral is "partial 16S ribosomal RNA". It matches the Rfam family "Bacterial small subunit ribosomal RNA", at positions 28 to 507 of the family's 1533-position model. The record is from RNAcentral.